AUGGCGGAUGGUCGAGGCAGCUCCUUAGGUGGCUCAGGCCUGCCCUGUGGAACGUCCAUGCGGGGAACUCCAACCAGCCCGAGUGACGCGGAUCCUGAGAGCACUCCAGAGACCCAACAGGAGAAAACAGGGCACGCUCAGAUGAAGAUAUGUCGACGUGAGCUAAUAAAGAGGCUAUUUACAGAAGUGCGGCUGAGGUAUAGAGAAACUGCAAGAGAUACCGCAGCACCACCGCUGGGUGAACCAGACAAGGAGAAGAGCAUUUGCCAGAACGGAAAGGAGCCAGUCACGAGGGAGAACCACCCUGAGAGGAGCUCUGAGCUGAGGUUAGGGAUGCAGACAACCAGGGGGUAGAAUGCAGAGAUGCGGUACUUUUGCUUUCCAGUCGUCAACGCCAAAGCAUUAUACUGCAUUCCUUCAAUAUAUAAUAAUAUUUAAAUUGCCUUUUUUUUUUUUUCUUUUCAGAGACAAGGUCUUGCUAUGUUGCCCAGGCUGGUCUCAAACCUGAGCUCAAGGGAUUCCCCUGCCUUGGCCUCCCACAGUGCUGGAAUUACAGGCAUGAGCCACCGUGCCUGGUCCUGAAAAUCAUAAAGAUUGCCUUUCUUUAUGAAUUUCAGAAAUUACCAGUUUAUAGUUCUGUGAAAAGAAAUAUGUGUGGUCUUCGUGAUACACCCACCUAGAGCGUAAAUAUAAGGUACAUAUUAGAAGCUUGUCUAUCAGAAAAUAGGAAGAUAUUUUAACUCUUAAUACUCAAAUCAAGAAGGUUAAGGAGGGUAGAAUUUCUUACAAAAGGGAAUCCCCUCUCUUCACUGCUCCCUGCUUACAAAUUUUGAUGAGAAUCUCCAGUUCUGGAGUCUCUAGUUCUAAUAAACCGACCGACUCGGGAAGACAAAUAUGAAAUAGUACAAAUAAGCAAAUUGAAGAAGUCAUACUUCACUUGAGUCCAUUUUAAGGCCUCCCGUAAAUGAGCCAUUAUAAUGAACUCAUGAACAUGCAUUAAAAAAAACAUUCAGAUUGAACAACAUGACUCAUAGUUUUGAGUAAAAUUGAUGUGAACUUUUUACAGGAAGUUUACACACAAACUCUCACUUAAAUGUGGAAACCAUAUAACUUGAUUUUUGUAUGAUUACAGUUUCAUUUAAUUAUGAUUUAGGAUAAUAAUUGGAGAAAAUACAUCAUUGAAUGGUAGUUCAAGGGAAAUUUAUUUUUAAUUUAAAAUGAAUGCAACUGAAGAAACUAAGCUGUCACAUGAGCAAGGAAACCCCAGAAGCCACACUCAAAGACUGCUUUUCCGUCCAGUGAGCUGGCCAGAGUUCUGCUAGAAAAUACAGUGACUGGGCCGGCCGACCCAGGCAGAGCUACCUGUCACAUAGAGAGGUUCGCAAACAUGGCUGAAAGCAAGACUGACACCCAUUUCAAGGAUUCCGUCGGACUAAAAAGCCUCUGCACAAUCAACACAAUGAAAAAGCAUGUGGAGUGGGAGGAAAUAUUUGCAAACCGUGCAUCUGAUAAGUUCCCCAAAAUAUACGGGAAACUCAAACAACUCGAUAGAAAAAAACAAGAAAAACCCCAAAUAAUCUGAUUUUAAAGAUAGGCAAAGGACCCAAAUAAACAUUUCUCCGAAGAAGACAUAGAAAUAGCUAACAGGUAUACGGAAAGGUGGUCAGCAUCACUAACUGUUACCAAAACACCAGGGGUUUGGACUGGGUCCUGCUGCUCACUGCACAGAAAGCCAAUCACUGAGGCAACGAGUAUUGCCAAGGAAGAAGCUUUAAUCUGGUGCUGCAGUCAAGGAGAUGGGAGCUCAGUCUCAUAUCCUUCUCCCUGACCGGCUAAAACUAGAGGUUUAUAUAGCAGGGAAGAAAGGUAACAAUGUGUAAGAAAACAGAAACUAAAGAGGGGCAAGGGAGUAAUCAUGAGGAACGAGGGUCCCACAUCCCAUUGUCUGGAUCUGGUGAUCUGGUGUUCUUUGCUUUUUUUUUUUUUUUUUUUUUUUUAGAGAGGUCUGAAAGUGGUUUUCAGAGGAAGGAACUCAGAUAAAACAAAUGUAAGGUUCUGAUUUUAAGACCAGAAUGAUCAAUUUCUAUGUUUAUCCAUAAAAUUAUCUAUGAGACUAUUGGGUUAGUUUCAUAAUCACCAGGGAAAUGUCAAUCAAAAUCACUAUGAGAUACUGUCCCACACAAUUAGGAUGGCAAAAAGAUGAAAUAUAAGUGUUGGCAAAAGUUUAGAGAAAAGAGAAGCCGUCACGCCUGUAAUCCCAGCACUUUGGGAGGCCGAGGCGGGCGGAUCACAAGGUCAGGAGAUCGAGACCACGGUGAAACCCCGUCUCUACUAAAAAUACAAAAAAUUAGCCGGGCGCGGUUGUGGGCGCCUGUAGUCCCAGCUACUCGGGAGGCUGAGGCAGGAGAAUGGCGUGAACCCGGGAGGCGGAGCUUGCAGUGAGCCGAGAUCGCGCCACUGCACUCCAGCCUGGGCGACAGAGCGAGACUGUCUCAAAAAAAAAAAAAAAAAGAAAAGAGAAGCCGUCUACAUUGUAGGUGGGAAUGCAAAUUAGUAUAGCCAUAUGGAAAACAGUAUGGAGGUUCCUCAAAAACUAAAAAUAGAACUACCAUAUGAUCUAGCAAUCCCACUACUGUGUAUACAUCCAAAGGAAAUGAAAUCAGAAAUCUACAUUCUUAUGUACAUUGCAGCAUUUUCACCAUGGCUAAGAUAUUGAAUCAACCUAUGUGUCCAUUGACAGACGAAUGGAUAAAGAACAUUUGGUGUAUAUGCACAAUGGAAUACUAUUCAGCCAUAAAAAGAAGGAUAUCCUGUCAUUUGUGACAACAUGAAUGAACAUGGAGAACAUUACGCUCAGUGAAAUAAGCCAGGCACAGAAACACAAAUACUGCAUGGUCUCACUUACAUGUGGAAUCUGAAGAAAUUAACUCAUAGAAAUAGAGAGUAGAACAGUGGUUACCAGGGGCUGGGGGUAAGGGGAGGAGAUGGAGAGAUAUUGGUGACAGGGUACAAAAUAUCAGUUAGGAUGAAUAAGUUCUGGACAUCUAUUGAAAAACAUGAGGAUUAUGAUUAGUCAUAAUGUAUUUCAUACUUGAAAAUUGCCAAGAGAGUAGAUCUUAACUGUUCUCACUGCAAGAAAAGAAUAAGCAUGUCUGGUGAGGGAUAUGCUAACUAGCUUGAUUUAAUCAUUUCACAAUGUAUAUGGAUAGCAAAAUGUCACUUGUAUACCAUAAAUAUAUAUAAUAUUUGUUUGUCUUUUAUAAAUA
Papio anubis (olive baboon) is the source of this 3266-nucleotide long non-coding RNA. The record is from Ensembl. Lineage: Eukaryota; Metazoa; Chordata; Mammalia; Primates; Cercopithecidae.